AACAUUAGUUUCACCUCGCCAAAAGAAUGUUGUUGAGACAAGGGAGGAAGAUAUAUUGGGCUUGUUAUCUGAUCAUGAGUCAGAGGGAAUUGAUGAAAGUGAAAGAUCAAGUGAAGAAGACGAUGAAGGAGAAGGCAACGUUAACAGAGUAAGAUAUAAUCCGGUAGAGAUGUGCAAAGAGUUUAAAUUUGUGUUAGGUAUGGAGUUUACUUCCAUUGGUCAGUUUAAAGAUGUAGUUAGAGAGUAUGCCUUACUCCAUGGAUAUGAAAUCAAAUUUGUGAAGAAUGAUAAGGUGAGGUGUAGGGUCAAAUGUGCACAUGUUGAAUGCAAGUGGUUAAUGUUUGUGAGCCAA
Molecule: long non-coding RNA, 352 nt
Organism: Neltuma alba
Lineage: Eukaryota; Viridiplantae; Streptophyta; Magnoliopsida; Fabales; Fabaceae
Exons: 3
Source: RefSeq, a predicted model, not a curated record